Molecule: ribosomal RNA, 253 nt
Filed under: uncultured bacterium
Lineage: Bacteria
Description: partial 16S ribosomal RNA
Rfam family: Bacterial small subunit ribosomal RNA
Source: RNAcentral
UACGAACGGUCCAAACGUUAUUCGGAAUCACUGGGCUUAAAGCGUCCGUAGGCGGCUCGGAAAGUAGGGUGUGAAAUCCCACGGCUCAACCGUGGAACUGCGCUCUAAACUAUCGAGCUUGAGGAAGAUAGAGGUAAGCGGAACUGAUGGUGGAGCGGUGAAAUGCGUUGAUAUCAUCAGGAACACCGGUGGCGAAGGCGGCUUACUGGGUCUUUUCUGACGCUGAGGGACGAAAGCUAGGGUAGCGAACGGG